GUAAUUACUGGCACUGGAGAUGGUCAUUGUGGUGACAUUGGAAAAGAAGAAACUAAAAUGUAAUUUGACAGCGUGAAAGACUUAAAAUUUUCAGUAUGGUGUGUAGAGAAUGCAGAUAUGUGCCGUCUUCUUUUGAGAAUUGCUGAAAUCUUCUAUUUCAUGUCUUCGAAUGCCAUAUAGUUAUUACUUAUUUGAUCCUAGCAACCUCCCUG
This 212-nucleotide unclassified non-coding RNA is filed under the name Hevea brasiliensis (rubber tree). The record is from RNAcentral. Lineage: Eukaryota; Viridiplantae; Streptophyta; Magnoliopsida; Malpighiales; Euphorbiaceae.